Molecule: ribosomal RNA, 500 nt
Filed under: uncultured bacterium
Lineage: Bacteria
Description: partial 16S ribosomal RNA
Rfam family: Bacterial small subunit ribosomal RNA
Source: RNAcentral
GACGAACGCUGGCGGCGUGCUUAACACAUGCAAGUCGAACGGGUCUGCCCUGUUUUUUGCGGGGUGGGUCAGUGGCGAACGGGUGAGUAACACGUGAGUAACCUGCCCCUCACUUCUGGAUAACCGCUUGAAAGGGUGGCUAAUACGGGGUGUUCUGGCUGUGCCGCAUGGUGUGGCUGGGAAAGAUUCACUUUUGUGGUGUUUUGGUGGGGGAUGGGCUCGCGGCCUAUCAGCCUGUUGGUGGGGUGAUGGCCUGCCAAGGCUUUGACGGGUAGCCGGCCUGAGAGGGUGGGCGGUCACACUGGGACUGAGAUACGGCCCAGACUCCUGCGGGAGGCAGCAGUGGGGGGUAUUGCACAAUGGGCGGAAGCCUGAUGCAGCGACGUCGCGUGAGGGAUGGAGGCCUUCGGGUUGUGAACCUCUUUCGCCGGUGAAGAAGGUCCUGCUCUUUGUGGUGGGGUUGACGGUAGCCGGGUUAUGAAGCGCCGGCUAACUACGUG